CCUACGGGUGGCAGCAGUGAGGAAUAUUGGUCAAUGGGCGCAAGCCUGAACCAGCCAAGCCGCGUGAAGGAAGAAGGUCCUAUGGAUUGUAAACCUCUUUUGUCGGGGGGCAAAAGACGCCACGCGUGGCGUUCCGAGAGUACUCGAAGAAAAAGCAUCGGCUAACUCCGUGCCAGCAGCCGCGGUAAUACGGAGGAUGCGAGCUUUAUCCGGAUUUAUUGGGUUUAACGGGUGCGCAGGCGGAAGAUCAAGUCAGCGGUAAAAUCGAGGGGCUCAACCGCGUCGAGCCGUUGAAACUGGUUUGCUUGAGUGAGCGAGAGGUAUGCGGAAUGCGUGGUGUAGCGGUGAAAUGCAUAGAUAUCACGCAGAACUCCGAUUGCGAAGGCAGCAUACCGGCGCUGAACUGACGCUCAGGCACGAAAGUGUGGGUAUCGAACAGGAUUAGAUACCCUUGUAGUC
Molecule: ribosomal RNA, 459 nt
Filed under: uncultured bacterium
Lineage: Bacteria
Description: partial 16S ribosomal RNA
Rfam family: Bacterial small subunit ribosomal RNA
Source: RNAcentral